This 375-nucleotide ribosomal RNA is filed under the name uncultured Fusibacter sp. Its description in RNAcentral is "bacterial SSU rRNA". It matches the Rfam family "Bacterial small subunit ribosomal RNA", at positions 1010 to 1382 of the family's 1533-position model. The record is from RNAcentral. Lineage: Bacteria; Bacillati; Bacillota; Clostridia; Eubacteriales; Fusibacteraceae.
GAUUUUGCCUUCGGGUACAAUUGAGACAGGUGGUGCGAUGGUUGUCGUCAGCUCGUGUCGUGAGAUGUUGGGUUAAGUCCCGCAACGAGCGCAACCCUUGUGUUUAGUUGCAAACAGGUCAAGCUGUGCACUCUAGACAGACUGCCGUGGACAACACGGAGGAAGGUGGGGAUGACGUCAAAUCAUCAUGCCCCUUAUGAUCUGGGCUACACACGUGCUACAAUGGCCGGUACAACGGGCAGCGAAGGAGCGAUCCGGAGCGAAUCCUAAAAAGCCGGUCCCAGUUCGGAUUGCAGGCUGAAACUCGCCUACAUGAAGUUGGAGUUGCUAGUAAUCGCGAAUCAGAAUGUCGCGGUGAAUGCGUUCCCGGGUCUU